GAGUUCACAUCGACGGGAAGGUUUGGCACCUCGAUGUCGGCUCAUCGCAUCCUGGAGCGGUAGUACGUUCCAAGGGUUGGGCUGUUCGCCCAUUAAAGCGGUACGUGAGCUGGGUUCAGAACGUCCGUGAGACAGUUCGGUCCAUAUCCGGUGUUAGCGCUGGAAUUUUGAGAGGAGUUGAACAUAGUACGAGAGGACCUGUUCAAAUAGACCAAUAGUGUACCGGUUAUCUUCCAAAGGUAAACGCCGGGUAGCCA
RNAcentral lists this ribosomal RNA (257 nucleotides) under Chlamydomonas subcaudata. RNAcentral describes it as "partial 23S ribosomal RNA". It matches the Rfam family "Bacterial large subunit ribosomal RNA", at positions 2496 to 2751 of the family's 2925-position model. Lineage: Eukaryota; Viridiplantae; Chlorophyta; Chlorophyceae; Chlamydomonadales; Chlamydomonadaceae. The record is from RNAcentral.